Molecule: ribosomal RNA, 285 nt
Filed under: uncultured Chloroflexota bacterium
Lineage: Bacteria; Bacillati; Chloroflexota
Description: uncultured Chloroflexi bacterium partial 16S ribosomal RNA
Rfam family: Bacterial small subunit ribosomal RNA
Source: RNAcentral
GAUGAACGCUGGCGGCGUGCCUAAUACAUGCAAGUCGAACGGGGCCUUUGUAGCAAUACGGAGGUCUAGUGGCGAACGGGUGAGUAACACGUGGGUGACCUGCCCCGAAGUGAGGGAUAACGGUUCGAAAGGGCUGCUAAUACCUCAUGUGGAUGCGAGAGUUAGAGAGCUCGCAUCGAAAGCAGCAAUGCGCUUUGGGAGGGGCCUGCGUCCCAUCAGCUAGUUGGUAAGGUAACGGCCUACCAAGGCGACGACGGGUAGGGGGCCUGAGAGGGUGGCCCCCCA